AUAUUUAUAGUUUAAUUGAGAACAUUAUUUUUUCAGGAUAAAGGUCGGCGUUAAGUUUGGUUGUAAAUAUG
Molecule: transfer RNA, 71 nt
Filed under: Microcosmus sulcatus
Lineage: Eukaryota; Metazoa; Chordata; Ascidiacea; Stolidobranchia; Pyuridae
Description: transfer RNA-Glu
Source: RNAcentral